UACAGAGGUCUCAAGCGUUGUUCGGAUUCAUUGGGCGUAAAGGGUGCGUAGGCGGCGCGGUAAGUCGGGUGUGAAAUCUCGGGGCUUAACUCCGAAACUGCAUUCGAUACUGCUGUGCUUGAGGACUGGAGAGGAGACUGGAAUUUACGGUGUAGCGGUGAAAUGCGUAGAUAUCGUAAGGAAGACCAGUGGCGAAGGCGGGUCUCUGGUACGUGACUGACGCUGAGACGCGAAAGCGUGGGGAGCGAACAGG
RNAcentral lists this ribosomal RNA (253 nucleotides) under uncultured bacterium. RNAcentral's name for it is "partial 16S ribosomal RNA". It matches the Rfam family "Bacterial small subunit ribosomal RNA", at positions 524 to 776 of the family's 1533-position model. The record is from RNAcentral.